RNAcentral lists this ribosomal RNA (390 nucleotides) under uncultured eukaryote. RNAcentral describes it as "SSU rRNA". It matches the Rfam family "Eukaryotic small subunit ribosomal RNA", at positions 587 to 972 of the family's 1831-position model. The record is from RNAcentral.
AGCUCUGUAAGCGUAUAUCAAAGUUGUUGCAGUUAAAACGCUCGUAGUCGAACUUAGGCGUUCUUAAAUCUGAUGCGUGGCACCGGCGACGGUGAUUUUCUUCGCAUCAGGCGCCUUUGUGGAGGGGUGCCUUGCGGUGCUUUAUUGGAUUGCAAGGUGCCUGCCACGUUUUACUGUGAAAAAAUUAAGGUGUUCAAAGCAGGCGUUUGCCAUGAAUACAUUAGCAUGGAAUAAUAGAAUAGGACCUGGUGCCUUUUUCUAUUGGUUUGUAAGUAUCAGGUAAUGAUUAAGAGGGACGGUCGGGGGCAUUUGUAUUUCGGCGCUAGAGGUGAAAUUCUUGGAUUGCCGAAAGACAAACAGCUGCGAAAGCGUCUGCCAAGGACGUUUUCA